AUUGAACGCUGGCGGCAGGCCUAACACAUGCAAGUCGAGCGGAUGAAGGGAGCUUGCUCCUGGAUUCAGCGGCGGACGGGUGAGUAAUGCCUAGGAAUCUGCCUGGUAGUGGGGGAUAACGUCCGGAAACGGGCGCUAAUACCGCAUACGUCCUGAGGGAGAAAGUGGGGGAUCUUCGGACCUCACGCUAUCAGAUGAGCCUAGAUCGGAUUAGCUAGUUGGUGGGGUAAAGGCCUACCAAGGCGACGAUCCGUAACUGGUCUGAGAGGAUGAUCAGUCACACUGGAACUGAGACACGGUCCAGACUCCUACGGGAGGCAGCAGUGGGGAAUAUUUGACAAUGGGCGAAAGCCUGAUCCAGCCAUGCCGCGUGUGUGAAGAAGGUCUUCGGAUUGUAAAGCACUUUAAGUUGGGAGGAAGGGCAGUAAGUUAAUACCUUGCUGUUUUGACGUUACCAACAGAAUAAGCACCGGCUAACUUCGUG
RNAcentral lists this ribosomal RNA (484 nucleotides) under uncultured bacterium. RNAcentral describes it as "partial 16S ribosomal RNA". It matches the Rfam family "Bacterial small subunit ribosomal RNA", at positions 30 to 507 of the family's 1533-position model. The record is from RNAcentral.